Molecule: long non-coding RNA, 1173 nt
Filed under: Helianthus annuus (common sunflower)
Lineage: Eukaryota; Viridiplantae; Streptophyta; Magnoliopsida; Asterales; Asteraceae
Description: hypothetical non coding rna
Source: RNAcentral
UGGUAGUGCUCUCAAAUUCAGUUAAUGCUUGCAAUCAGUUGACGACGGUUCCCCACGCUCCCGUAAUUGUUGGUCUGAUGAAUCUGUUCUUCUCACCCACCUAUAAAUCUGUCGUCGCAUCUCUACAAUAAUUAUGAAUUGCCAAAUCAAAAGGAAAAAAUAGGUGAAUGAAGAUAGUAGACACGUCCCUACGAUUGAAGGAGUGAGCAGGGGUCGAUUUAAUUGGUCUAGGGCCAUACACGUGAGCUCAAGGUUUGAUUAGAAAUAUUUGGAACCUUGAGCAGAAGAAACCAAAAUGGCUUUCUCCAAAGCCAAGGAAAUCGUUUCCUCAAAUCCCCUCCUCAUAUCCAGGGUAACUACAAAACAAGAUGACGUAUAGAUAAAGGCUUUCACACAAGUUCACAAUGCAAUUUAUUUCAGCAUUACAUUUUUUAUGAGAACUGUAAUGAGUGCAUUCAAAGGCUCGCUAGAACCGAACACAUCAUUAGGAGGUUUCCCUGGUAACAAUUACUAUAAAGGAAAGCGAAGAAACUAAAAAAGUUGUGACGUGGGAGAAGGCCGCCUUCAUUCAGUUGAUAGAGUAGCCAAUCAUGGCAAAUUUAAGAGACUGAAAUGACAGACAAUAAAGCUAAUAUAGAGAAGAAGAUGACAUUAAAGAAGAAGACUAACCAACAAAAGAGGUGACAUGACAGGAUAAAAAGCUAAUAGAGAACAAAAUUUCAAGUCAAGACCUACAGGUACUGUGGGUCCUGUUUUCCAUGACCCUAUAUCAACCUUCUCCCAGCCUGAUAAAGAAGAAAAAGAGACCGAACUUUUUAGUGAAAGCAAGAAAGAGGGUUGUAACGAUGAUGAUGAUGACGACGAUGAAAAUGAGGCGGUGGGGAGCCUUAGAACGGGUGGCAGUUUGUUGGGAUGGGUUAAAGCAGAAGAUGGAGAGAUGGGUGAAGGUUUUUCCGGUGCUGGGUGGCAUACCAAGGGUACAUAUAGAGUUAAGAGGAAAACAAGCUUGAUCUUGACCAUGACUAAUCAACGGUCAUCCUGUUGUUGAACUCUGAUCGUGAAUGUAUUUAAAUGAGACUAUUUCAUGUUUUAGUACUCUGUUAGUUUUAUUUUCUAUCAUUUUGUGGUUGUAAACUGUUGACGUUCGUCUUCCUUUUAUAAAUUAAAGAAUUG